GUUGCUCGCCUGCCUACACCUUUUUGACAUGGUGCUGCAUCGUUCUGGGGUAUUCGGUUGUCAUCAAGACAGAUGAAGGACAAGUGGGGUGCCGAUGUGCUGAAAAUGCUCCCAUCCUUCCAGUCCAAGCAGGCCAGCUCUCCAGAGGUGCAGAACCUGGAAAAGCCUGCUUCCUUCCAGUGGAGAAGGAGGACGAGUGCUCCUGUUGCCUUUGGCUCACAGCACGGAUGUGUGCUGUGAAGUGCUAUAUAUCCACUAACAGCUCAUAGAAACCGUGCAUCGCCAUGAGGAACAGUUUCUGUCCAUGUCCUUUGAUGGAUCUGUAUUUCCUCUUCCCUGACUUGGGAGCACGAAAUCCAGCAAAGGGCAGGUUACCGCUGAUCUUCACACAUAGCGGAUCAUAAUGUAAUUAACCAAAGGGGCUUUUCCUGUUAACAAAGCCUCAUAAUCCCCUUUGUAUAUGCUGUGAUCUAACAAACAAGGUUGUGCCUGGUGACCCUGGGGCAUCUGACUUGCCAUUAUUGUGUAACAAGAAUCCAUCCAUCCAUCCAUCCAUCCAUUAAUCCAUGUUCUAAUGUACUUUUCUUGGAGAACGGAGGCAUAAUCAUAAGAAAACACCAUUUUUUCCCCCAUCAUAUCUGCCAACGCGAAACUACAGAGGUCUGAAUGGGUUAAUAUAAUUCAAACUCAUUUUAUAUAAUCUUUGUUUCUCCUGGCUGAUGUAUUAGACAGUAGUUUUAUUAAGCAAACUUUCAAGCAGAAGCUUUUUCCUCCUUUUUUCCUGGAGAUUAAGACUGUAAUAAUAAACAGGGUGAGAAGACUG
This is a non-coding RNA of Paramormyrops kingsleyae, 823 nucleotides long. NCBI's taxonomy places the organism in Eukaryota, Metazoa, Chordata, Actinopteri, Osteoglossiformes, Mormyridae. The record is from RefSeq and is a predicted model, not a curated record.